UACGUAGGGGGCAAGCGUUGUCCGGAAUUAUUGGGCGUAAAGAGCGCGUAGGCGGUCCGGUAAGUCGGUUGUGAAAGUCGGGGGCUCAACCCUCGGAUGCCGAUCGAUACUGCCGGACUAGAGUUCGGAAGAGGCGAGUGGAAUUCCCGGUGUAGCGGUGAAAUGCGCAGAUAUCGGGAGGAACACCAAUGGCGAAGGCAGCUCGCUGGGACGGUACUGACGCUGAGGCGCGAAAGCUAGGGGAGCGAACGGG
This 253-nucleotide ribosomal RNA is filed under the name uncultured bacterium. RNAcentral describes it as "partial 16S ribosomal RNA". It matches the Rfam family "Bacterial small subunit ribosomal RNA", at positions 524 to 776 of the family's 1533-position model. The record is from RNAcentral.